UACGGGGGGAGCUAGCGUUGUUCGGAAUUACUGGGCGUAAAGCGUACGUAGGCGGCUUUGGAAGUUAGAGGUGAAAGCCUGGAGCUCAACUCCAGAACUGCAUUUAAGACUGCAUCGCUCGAGUCCAGGAGAGGUGAGUGGAAUUCCGAGUGUAGAGGUGAAAUUCGUAGAUAUUCGGAAGAACACCAGUGGCGAAGGCGGCUCACUGGACUGGUAUUGACGCUGAGGUGCGAAAGCGUGGGGAGCAAACAGG
This 253-nucleotide ribosomal RNA is filed under the name uncultured bacterium. Its description in RNAcentral is "partial 16S ribosomal RNA". It matches the Rfam family "Bacterial small subunit ribosomal RNA", at positions 524 to 776 of the family's 1533-position model. The record is from RNAcentral.